This 415-nucleotide long non-coding RNA is filed under the name Anser brachyrhynchus (Pink-footed goose). RNAcentral describes it as "lncRNA (ENSABRG00000016261.1)". Lineage: Eukaryota; Metazoa; Chordata; Aves; Anseriformes; Anatidae. The record is from RNAcentral.
UUAAUUUUUUUUUUUUUUUUGCCAGAACUGUAUCUAUCUGAAAAGAAGGUUUACUCCAAAUCAAAACAUUUUGACAAAGAUUUCUUAACGUGCAAUUUCAGUAAGGUGCUGCAUGACACUAGCACGCACUUGCCAGGGAUCGGAACCGGUUUUAAAGUAAGCCAUCCAGAGGUCAGAAGCAGUCAGUGGGACAGCCUCUGGUGGUGCCUCUUGGUGCUGUUCUCCAGCAAGCUCCAGCAAACUGCUUUCCUGCCGACAUCAGCCUUUAGCAGGGAAACGUGCUUGCUGAUACUUGGCUCACUGCCUGGCAAAGCCACUUGUGAGUCCAAAUUCCUUUGGCAUAGUGUGAUAAUACGGCGGUCGUUGCUUUAUACUUAGAAAUAAAUGCUGAGUAGCAUCUAAUGUAAUCUUUUUG